This 497-nucleotide ribosomal RNA is filed under the name uncultured bacterium. Its description in RNAcentral is "partial 16S ribosomal RNA". It matches the Rfam family "Bacterial small subunit ribosomal RNA", at positions 28 to 507 of the family's 1533-position model. The record is from RNAcentral.
GAUGAACGCUGGCGGCGUGCCUAAUACAUGCAAGUCGAGCGAACAGACGAGGAGCUUGCUCCUCUGACGUUAGCGGCGGACGGGUGAGUAACACGUGGAUAACCUACCUAUAAGACUGGGAUAACUUCGGGAAACCGGAGCUAAUACCGGAUAAUAUAUUGAACCGCAUGGUUCAAUAGUGAAAGACGGUUUUGCUGUCACUUAUAGAUGGAUCCGCGCCGCAUUAGCUAGUUGGUAAGGUAACGGCUUACCAAGGCAACGAUGCGUAGCCGACCUGAGAGGGUGAUCGGCCACACUGGAACUGAGACACGGUCCAGACUCCUACGGGAGGCAGCAGUAGGGAAUCUUCCGCAAUGGGCGAAAGCCUGACGGAGCAACGCCGCGUGAGUGAUGAAGGUCUUCGGAUCGUAAAACUCUGUUAUUAGGUAAGAACAAAUGUGUAAGUAACUAUGCGCGUCUUGACGGUACCUAAUCAGAAAGCCACGGCUAACUACGUG